GGAAGUGUAGCACAGACACAGCAGGUAAACAGGUAGUAAUGUUAGGAUAAUACCGGGACGUUUAGGUGAUGGACAGGCAUGAGCUGCGUCUUUGGAUAUUUGCCGUUUUUGGGUUUGGACACAGACACCGUCAUUGACAGAGUUGCAGAGAAAAGUGAACUCCUACAGAAGCUCCUACUAUACUAAGGAAGCCUCUGUCUCUCAGGUUUUGUUGACUGUUCGUUUUCACAAAGUAAGCAAUGUUCCAUUUCAGGAUCCUCAUCCUCAUUCAGCAUUGUUCACGAGAUUGACAGGCAUUUGGUUUCUGGGAUCCUUUCAGUCGUAAAAAAGUUGCCUUACUUCUUGUGUUCAUUUGAAGCAAAUUGAGUUGUGGACUGCCAGCCAACGUGCUCCUGACCUUGUGUGUAAGAUGCAUUUUAAAUAAACCAUUGAAUGUGUA
Molecule: long non-coding RNA, 439 nt
Organism: Toxotes jaculatrix (banded archerfish)
Lineage: Eukaryota; Metazoa; Chordata; Actinopteri; Toxotidae
Exons: 5
Source: RefSeq, a predicted model, not a curated record